This is a long non-coding RNA of Carassius carassius (crucian carp), 448 nucleotides long. RefSeq lists it as uncharacterized. The transcript has 3 exons. The record is from RefSeq and is a predicted model, not a curated record. NCBI's taxonomy places the organism in Eukaryota, Metazoa, Chordata, Actinopteri, Cypriniformes, Cyprinidae.
UGAGGAACUAGCUCUUGCUGAUAUUGUGUUAACGUCUCAUACAAUCCAUAGUAAUCUAAGACAUUCACGCACCAUCCAUCUACAGCUCUAACAGUAUUUGUUUCUUUACAGAACCAUCUUCUCAUCAUGAGAGCGAAGUGGCGAAAGAAGCGUAUGCGCAGGCUGAAGCGUAAAAGGAGAAAGAUGAGGCAGAGGUCAAAGUAAACUGGACCCUGUUCGCUGAAGCUGAGAGUGCUCUUCCACUUCAAUUUUCUCUGCAAGAGUCCGCUGGAAGCCCAACUGAAGCUCUACUCCACCAUCUGAGGUCUGCUUCUGAAUGAGGAUUUGGUUUUCCAUCACCUGGUUCUGCAGAAGCAUCCUGGUCUUGACCAUGUGAACUGUUUUGGACAUUCCUUAGACCUGUCAGCUCAGCAAGUUUAAUGUCUUUAAUAAAUCUUUUUGGUUUAAA